Molecule: ribosomal RNA, 225 nt
Filed under: uncultured Aquabacterium sp.
Lineage: Bacteria; Pseudomonadati; Pseudomonadota; Betaproteobacteria; Burkholderiales; Sphaerotilaceae
Description: partial 16S ribosomal RNA
Rfam family: Bacterial small subunit ribosomal RNA
Source: RNAcentral
UGCGCAGGCGGUUCGGCAAGAAGGAUGUGAAAUCCCAGGGCUUAACCUGGGAACUGCACUUGUGACUGCAAGGCUGGAGUACGGCAGAGGGGGAUGGAAUUCCGCGUGUAGCAGUGAAAUGCGUAGAUAUGCGGAGGAACACCGAUGGCGAAGGCAAUCCCCUGGGCCUGUACUGACGCUCAUGCACGAAAGCGUGGGGAGCAAACAGGAUUAGAUACCCCCGUA